RNAcentral lists this non-coding RNA (48 nucleotides) under Trichobilharzia regenti. Lineage: Eukaryota; Metazoa; Platyhelminthes; Trematoda; Strigeidida; Schistosomatidae. The record is from RNAcentral.
AUCCAGCUGACCACGAGUCCUAAAUAGGACAAAAUGCACAUCCUGGAU